GGUGGGGUGGCAGAGCGGUUGAAUGCACCGGUCUUGAAAACCGGCGUGGCCCCUUGGGUCACCGUGGGUUCGAAUCCCACCCCCACCG
This 88-nucleotide transfer RNA is filed under the name Phycisphaeraceae bacterium. Its description in RNAcentral is "tRNA-Ser". It matches the Rfam family "tRNA". Rfam says of the family: Transfer RNA (tRNA) molecules are approximately 80 nucleotides in length. The record is from RNAcentral. Lineage: Bacteria; Pseudomonadati; Planctomycetota; Phycisphaerae; Phycisphaerales; Phycisphaeraceae.